AAUAUUUGUCAAUGUGCGGGAGCCUGAACCAGCCAUGCCGCGUGCGGGAUGAAGGCCUUCGGGUUGUAAAGUACUUUUGGCAGAGAAGAAAAGGUAUCUCCUAAUACGAGAUACUGCUGACGGUAUCUGCAUAAUAAGCACCGGCUAACUACGUGCACGCAGCCGCGGUAAUACGUAAGGUGCAAGCGUUAAUCGGAAUUACUGGGCGUAAAGAGUGUGUAGGCGGUUCGGAAAGAAAGAUGUGAAAUCCCAGGGCUCAACCUUGGAACUGCAUUUUUAACUGCCGAGCUAGAGUAUGUCAGAGGGGGGUAGAAUUCCACGUGUAGCAGUGAAAUGCGUAGAUAUGUGGAGGAAUACCGAUGGCGAAGGCAGCCCCCUGGGAUAAUACUGACGCUCAGACACGAAAGCGUGGGGAGCAAACA
This 422-nucleotide ribosomal RNA is filed under the name uncultured bacterium. RNAcentral describes it as "partial 16S ribosomal RNA". It matches the Rfam family "Bacterial small subunit ribosomal RNA", at positions 360 to 774 of the family's 1533-position model. The record is from RNAcentral.